This 543-nucleotide long non-coding RNA is filed under the name Homo sapiens (human). RNAcentral's name for it is "long non-coding RNA NONHSAT198688.1". The record is from RNAcentral. Lineage: Eukaryota; Metazoa; Chordata; Mammalia; Primates; Hominidae.
CUUCACUUCAACUUCACUACUUCUGUAGUCUCAUCUUGAGUAAAAGAACCCAGCCAACUAUGAAGUUCCUUGUCUUUGCCUUCAUCUUGGCUCUCAUGGUUUCCAUGAUUGGAGCUGAUUCAUCUGAAGAGAAAUUUUUGCGUAGAAUUGGAAGAUUCGUAUGGGUAUGGCCCUUAUCAGCCAGUUCCAGAACAACCACUAUACCCACAACCAUACCAACCACAAUACCAACAAUAUACCUUUUAAUAUCAUCAGUAACUGCAGGACAUGAUUAUUGAGGCUUGAUUGGCAAAUACGACUUCUACAUCCAUAUUCUCAUCUUUCAUACCAUAUCACACUACUACCACUUUUUGAAGAAUCAUCAAAGAGCAAUGCAAAUGAAAAACACUAUAAUUUACUGUAUACUCUUUGUUUCAGGAUACUUGCCUUUUCAAUUGUCACUUGAUGAUAUAAUUGCAAUUUAAACUGUUAAGCUGUGUUCAGUACUGUUUCUGAAUAAUAGAAAUCACUUCUCUAAAAGCAAUAAAUUUCAAGCACAUUUUU